RNAcentral lists this ribosomal RNA (492 nucleotides) under uncultured bacterium. Its description in RNAcentral is "partial 16S ribosomal RNA". It matches the Rfam family "Bacterial small subunit ribosomal RNA", at positions 28 to 507 of the family's 1533-position model. The record is from RNAcentral.
GAUGAACGCUAGCUACAGGCUUAACACAUGCAAGUCGAGGGGAAACGGCAUCGAAAGCUUGCUUUUGAUGGGCGUCGACCGGCGCACGGGUGAGUAACGCGUAUCCAACCUGCCCAUCACUUGGGAAUAACCUUGCGAAAGUAAGACUAAUGCCCAAUGACAUCCCACGAAGGCAUCAGAAUGGGAUUAAAGAUUUAUCGGUGAUGGAUGGGGAUGCGUCUGAUUAGCUUGUUGGCGGGGUGACGGCCCACCAAGGCAACGAUCAGUAGGGGUUCUGAGAGGAAGGUCCCCCACAUUGGAACUGAGACACGGUCCAAACUCCUACGGGAGGCAGCAGUGAGGAAUAUUGGUCAAUGGGCGAGAGCCUGAACCAGCCAAGUAGCGUGCAGGAUGACGGCCCUAUGGGUUGUAAACUGCUUUUAUAAGGGAAUAAAGUGGGUCACGUGUGACUUUUUGCAUGUACCUUAUGAAUAAGGACCGGCUAAUUCCGUG